Molecule: ribosomal RNA, 484 nt
Filed under: uncultured bacterium
Lineage: Bacteria
Description: partial 16S ribosomal RNA
Rfam family: Bacterial small subunit ribosomal RNA
Source: RNAcentral
AUUGAACGCUGGCGGCAGGCCUAACACAUGCAAGUCGAGCGGAUGAAGGGAGCUUGCUCCUGGAUUCAGCGGCGGACGGGUGAGUAAUGCCUAGGAAUCUGCCUGGUAGUGGGGGAUAACGUCCGGAAACGGGCGCUAAUACCGCAUACGGCCUGAGGGAGAAAGUGGGGGAUCUUCGGACCUCACGCUAUCAGAUGAGCCUAGGUCGGAUUAGCUAGUUGGUGGGGUAAAGGCCUACCAAGGCGACGAUCCGUAACUGGUCUGAGAGGAUGAUCAGUCACCCUGGAACUGAGACACGGUCCAGACUCCUACGGGAGGCAGCAGUGGGGAAUAUUGGACAAUGGGCGAAAGCCUGAUCCAGCCAUGCCGCGUGUGUGCAGAAGGUCUUCGGAUUGUAAAGCACUUUAAGUUGGGAGGAAGGGCAGUAAGUUAAUACCUUGCUGUUUUGACGUUACCAACAGAAUAAGCACCGGCUAACUUCGUG